AUGCACGCUGGCGGCGUGCCUAAUACAUGCAAGUCGAGCGAACGGACGAGAAGCUUGCUUCUCUGAUGUUAGCGGCGGACGGGUGAGUAACACGUGGAUAACCUACCUAUAAGACUGGGAUAACUUCGGGAAACCGGAGCUAAUACCGGAUAAUAUUUUGAACCGCAUGGUUCAAAAGUGAAAGACGGUCUUGCUGUCACUUAUAGAUGGAUCCGCGCUGCAUUAGCUAGUUGGUAAGGUAACGGCUUACCAAGGCAACGAUGCAUAGCCGACCUGAGAGGGUGAUCGGCCACACUGGAACUGAGACACGGUCCAGACUCCUACGGGAGGCAGCAGUAGGGAAUCUUCCGCAAUGGGCGAAAGCCUGACAGAGCAACGCCGCGUGAGUGAUGAAGGUCUUCGGAUCGUAAAACUCUGUUAUUAGGGAAGAACAUAUGUGUAAGUAACUGUGCACAUCUUGACGGUACCUAAUCAGAAAGCCACGGCUAACUACGUG
Molecule: ribosomal RNA, 496 nt
Filed under: uncultured bacterium
Lineage: Bacteria
Description: partial 16S ribosomal RNA
Rfam family: Bacterial small subunit ribosomal RNA
Source: RNAcentral